UACACAGCUGCCGAGGACAAGCUUCUUUGCGAGUGUUGGCGAGACAUUGGACAAGACCCAAAGACGGGCGCCGAGCAAAAGCAUUCAACCUUUUGGACUCGUGUGCACCGCGAGUUUCAUGAGCGCAAGAAGUUUCCACCCUAUCAAUUUGUGAGCACGCGCGGGUGGGUCUCCAUUUCCAAGCGGUGGAGGGUGAUCCAACAAGAGUGCAACAAGUUUUGCGCCACCCUUGAGAGCGUCAAGGCCCGCCCCGUGAGCGGCAUCGGCGUGCAAGACAUGGCAUUUCAAGCUUUGGAGGCAUUCAAGGUUCAACACAAUGGCAAGUGCUUCAACCUCUCCCAUUGCUAUCGGGUCAUCAAG
RNAcentral lists this ribosomal RNA (360 nucleotides) under Triticum aestivum (bread wheat). RNAcentral describes it as "partial small subunit ribosomal RNA". The record is from RNAcentral. Lineage: Eukaryota; Viridiplantae; Streptophyta; Magnoliopsida; Poales; Poaceae.